GCCGGCGUGGCGCAGUGGUAACGCGUCGCACUUGUAUCACGUGAUAUUCUGCCCUUCGGCAUGCGAAGAUCCUCAGUUCAAUUCUGGGCGUCGGCA
Non-coding RNA from Coniosporium tulheliwenetii, 96 nucleotides. NCBI's taxonomy places the organism in Eukaryota, Fungi, Ascomycota, Dothideomycetes. The record is from the annotation of a GenBank genome assembly.